GACGAACGCUGGCGGCGUGCUUAACACAUGCAAGUCGAACGGAGAGGCCCUGCUUUUGUGGGGUGCUCGAGUGGCGAACGGGUGAGUAACACGUGAGUAACCUGCCCUUGACUUUGGGAUAACUUCAGGAAACUGGGGCUAAUACCGGAUAGGAGCUCCUGCUGCAUGGUGGGGGUUGGAAAGUUUCGGCGGUUGGGGAUGGACUCGCGGCUUAUCAGCUUGUUGGUGGGGUAGUGGCUUACCAAGGCUUUGACGGGUAGCCGGCCUGAGAGGGUGACCGGCCACAAUGGGACUGAGAUACGGCCCAGACUCCUACGGGAGGCAGCAGUGGGGAAUAUUGCACAAUGGGCGGAAGCCUGAUGCAGCAACGCCGCGUGCGGGAUGACGGCCUUCGGGUUGUAAACCGCUUUCGCCUGUGACGAAGCGUGAGUGACGGUAAUGGGUAAAGAAGCACCGGCUAACUACGUG
Molecule: ribosomal RNA, 468 nt
Filed under: uncultured bacterium
Lineage: Bacteria
Description: partial 16S ribosomal RNA
Rfam family: Bacterial small subunit ribosomal RNA
Source: RNAcentral